UACGUAGGGUGCAAGCGUUGUCCGGAAUUAUUGGGCGUAAAGAGCUCGUAGGCGGUUUGUUGCGUCGGCUGUGAAAUCCCGAGGCUCAACCUCGGAUCGGCCGUGGCGACUCGUGGGCUGGAGCACUGUAGAGGCGGGUGGAAUUCCGGGUGUAGCGGUGGAAUGCGUAGAGAUCCGGAGGAAGACCGGUGGCGAAGGCGGCCUGCUGGGCAGUUACUGACACUGAGGCGCGACAGCGUGGGGGAGCAAACAGG
Molecule: ribosomal RNA, 254 nt
Filed under: uncultured bacterium
Lineage: Bacteria
Description: partial 16S ribosomal RNA
Rfam family: Bacterial small subunit ribosomal RNA
Source: RNAcentral